Molecule: ribosomal RNA, 254 nt
Filed under: uncultured bacterium
Lineage: Bacteria
Description: partial 16S ribosomal RNA
Rfam family: Bacterial small subunit ribosomal RNA
Source: RNAcentral
UACGGUAGGGUGCAAGCGUUAUCCGGAUUCACUGGGUUUAAAGGGUGCGUAGGUGGGCAGGUAAGUCAGUGGUGAAAUCUCCGGGCUUAACCCGGAAACUGCCAUUGAUACUAUCUGUCUUGAAUACCGUGGAGGUGAGCGGAAUAUGUCAUGUAGCGGUGAAAUGCUUAGAUAUGACAUAGAACACCAAUUGCGAAGGCAGCUCACUACACGAAUAUUGACACUGAGGCACGAAAGCGUGGGGAUCAAACAGG